Rosa rugosa (rugosa rose) is the source of this 1709-nucleotide long non-coding RNA. RefSeq lists it as uncharacterized. NCBI's taxonomy places the organism in Eukaryota, Viridiplantae, Streptophyta, Magnoliopsida, Rosales, Rosaceae. The record is from RefSeq and is a predicted model, not a curated record. The transcript has 2 exons.
UGUUUGUUUCAUGGGAUUGGAUGGGAUUGGACUGUCUUAUUUAUUAGAGUAAGAGUUAUCCCAUGUUUGGCUGAAACAAGGACUCACUUAAAUGAGACUAUGCAGUCCCCGAGUCUACCUCCGCACCUUCUUACAUAGUCUCCCCAAAUUUCACCGGACUGUGGAAGCAGGUCUUAUGCAACGCUAAAGUCUCGUUCUUCGCUUCAGCCUCAUCGUUCUCACUCACUCGUUUCCUUCGCUUCAGUCUUCUCCGGCUGCUCUUUUUCAGGUUCAAUUCUCUCAUUUCUCAUGCUCUCUGUCUUGUGUUGAUUAUUGUUCACUCUCCCCUUCAACCCUCUCUACCUUCUUCUUUCUCCGUCUACUAUAAUUUGUUUUAUUAAAGAUUAUGGAAUGAUUAUCUGUAAUUUGUUUAUGGGUAGUGAUUAUUUUACGGAUUGAUUGAGGAUUUGGUGUCUGAGUAGCUUGAUUUGUUGAGAAUUUGAUCAAUUUCAUGACUGGGUCUCUCUCUCUCUCCCCCCUUCAACCCUCUCUACCUUCUUCUUUCUCUGUCUACUGUAAUUUGUUUUAUUAAAGAUUAUGGACUGAUUAUCUACUGUAAUUUGUUUAUGGGUAGUGAUUAUUUUACAGAUUGAUUGAGGAUUUGGUGUCUGAGUAGCUUGAUUUGUUGAGAAUUUGAUCAAUUUCAUGACUGGAUCAAUUUCAAUUUGAUCAAUUGUUGUUUAGGAAGGAAACUACUCGGUAUUGGAGAAGUUCUAUGUACAUCGGCAAGGAUACAAGAACAGAUUUUCAAAAUCCAGGACCAGGUAUAUAUUUCGUUUCUUGCUAUUAUCUUUAUGGAUGUGUGAAAUAAAACCUUCGCAUACUGUUAAGUUGAGGUCAAACUCAUUAGCCAGAAACUGACCAUUACUUGGAGCUAUCUUUAUUAAUAGCUAAGCACCAGAUCCAUCUGUUUCUUGUAAUUGAGGAUCCCAUUUUUUUAGAAGUCCUCUAAUGCUGGUUGUUUAUGUAAUUGAUUCAGUCCACAACAAGCUGCUUCCCUGAAUUGUUCUUUCAGGCAUUUCUCUGCCCUUUGGAUUCCUAACAAGUACAAAAUGCUCCUAGCCACUUUUUGAUAAUAUAAAUUCAGUCUUAUCUUUUGUUUCAUUUUGUAAUUUAUGUUUUUGAUAUGUGGAGUUAAUGAAAUUGGUUCUGUUUUCGGAUGUAUGUGGAGGCUUUGAAAUGUGCAUUGUGGCUUGCUGCUUUGGCACACUUCUGGAAUAAUGAAGGCAUUACUGAUCAUAUCAGAUGAGGGAGAUGACUGUCCCAUGACCAAGCUGCCAGAAAUCAACUUUGAGGCUCUGUUUUGGUGCAAAACUCCUAGAGAAAUGAAGCUUAUUUUUAGGCUCAUGUUGUUAUUACGUUAGGAAACUUUCAUUAUGGAAGGGAGCUUGUCCUUAUCACCAAGGGUGGCACUCCUUUCUAAUCAAGCAAAAUUUACUUUGCUCACAAAGUAUGUAUUAGCUGAUCUUUUAGGAUGUGGCUCUCUAUCUUGCAGAGGCCAUUUUGACCCUUUAGGAUGUCCUGUAUGUCCGCAGUUUAUUAAUGAAAUUAUUUCCUAUAUGAUUCAAAAAAAAGUGUAAAACUACAUUAUAAAUAUUAUCUCUUAUUAAUAGAUAAUAUUUUGCUUUAAAAAAAAAUAUUGUGAUAUGCAAAAUUAAAUUAGUCCUAAA